This is a long non-coding RNA of Marmota flaviventris (yellow-bellied marmot), 625 nucleotides long. RefSeq lists it as uncharacterized. The record is from RefSeq and is a predicted model, not a curated record. Lineage: Eukaryota; Metazoa; Chordata; Mammalia; Rodentia; Sciuridae.
UCGUGUCUUGCCUCCUACUCCUGGUAUGAGGAUGCUGUUGACAUAGCUAUGCAGCUGAUUUGAAGAUACUUCAGUCUCCUUUCCAAGAAUGGCUUCCAACAAGGCAUCAUGGAUGAAAAUAUACUGCUCCUGAAAGCAUGCUGUCUAUCACAAUGUAGGUGCCUGUCCUGCCCACGCCAGCGCUGUAAAGAAUGAAGGCACUCAACUAGGACUUUGUCAUCCCCCCCCCCCCCAAUCCAUGGUCACAAUGCAAGUAUCUAAUGAAAUGAGAAAUAACCCUCUUGUCUAGAUAACCUAGUAUAAAUGACAAAGGAUAUUCACAUAGAUUACACCUCAAAACUUCACUAGGACACGUCUCACUAUGAACAAUCUUGACAAGGAGUACAGACUUUCCCAUAGGAGCUGGGAGACAAAGGGUGUGCACUCGGACUCCCUUGCAGCUCAAGCAAAGGCAUGAGACUCCAGCUGCAAGGGACUGAGAGGCGUCUCAUGGCAGCAGCAAUCUCCACACCACGACUGGCCUGCUGAGGCACUGUGUGGGCAGCCUUUGAACUUGCGCUUGGUUCUCCAACUCUCCCAGGAAGUCUGAGUAUGCAUUAUCCUUUUAAUAAACCCCUUUUCUGUA